Molecule: ribosomal RNA, 425 nt
Filed under: uncultured cyanobacterium
Lineage: Bacteria; Bacillati; Cyanobacteriota
Description: bacterial SSU rRNA
Rfam family: Bacterial small subunit ribosomal RNA
Source: RNAcentral
GGGGAAUUUUCCGCAAUGGGCGAAAGCCUGACGGAGCAAGACCGCGUGGGGGAGGAAGGCUCUAGGGUUGUAAACCCCUUUUCUUUGGGAAGAAGUUCUGACGGUACCAAAGGAAUCAGCCUCGGCUAACUCCGUGCCAGCAGCCGCGGUAAUACGGAGGAGGCAAGCGUUAUCCGGAAUUAUUGGGCGUAAAGGGUCCGCAGGUGGCCCAUCAAGUCUGCUGUCAAAGACCGAAGCUUAACUUCGGGCAGGCAGUGGAAACUGGUGAGCUAGAGUACGGUAGGGGUAGAGGGAAUUUCCAGUGUAGCGGUGAAAUGCGUAGAGAUUGGAAAGAACACCAGUGGCGAAGGCGCUCUACUGGACCUGUACUGACACUGAGGGACGAAAGCUAGGGGAGCGAAAGGGAUUAGAUACCCCUGUAGUCA